CUUUGACAUUAAACAUAUUACCUAUUAUAAGGACAUUAUUAUGUUAUAUAACAAAUAACAUAAUAAAUACAAUUUUGUGUGUGUAUAACAAGGUCAUAAUAAAAAAGUAAAUCUAAUCAACAUAGAUUAUCUAUUAAGGUUUACUCUAACAUAUACAACAUCUCUUAUUCUACGAGAUCAUUUAAAUUAGGAAAAGAAAAAUACAACUAUUUGGUACCAACAUAAUAACUAAAUGAUAGAUCAUGAAAUAUUUUGGCAUUCGGUAUAUUGCACAUUUAUUUUGGUAGCAUAACAAAACAUUCUUCUUGAUUGGGCGUUUGUGUACUCUCGUGGGUUUGGUAUUCAUAGAAUUGGUUGACAUUCGUGAUUAAUGCACUUAGUAACAAACCAUAUUUGUCGACAAUCGACAUCAGUUUUACAUUCCUUAUGUACUGCUGUAAUGAAAAAAAAAUAUAAUAAAUAAUGGUACUAAAACAUUAUAAAAAAAUGUGUAUACCAACUAUGGUAAAGAAGGAAAUUUGAAAAAGAACGAAAAAGUUAUUUACCUCCAUCAACUUUUGUUGCAACAAAAAAUAAGAAUAGAACAAGAAUCGUAGCAUAAACAAACUUUAGAAUAUGAGCC
This 622-nucleotide long non-coding RNA is filed under the name Medicago truncatula (barrel medic). RNAcentral's name for it is "lncRNA gene4156". The record is from RNAcentral. Lineage: Eukaryota; Viridiplantae; Streptophyta; Magnoliopsida; Fabales; Fabaceae.